Molecule: ribosomal RNA, 1358 nt
Filed under: uncultured bacterium
Lineage: Bacteria
Description: bacterial SSU rRNA
Rfam family: Bacterial small subunit ribosomal RNA
Source: RNAcentral
GAUGAACGCUAGCUACAGGCUUAACACAUGCAAGUCGAGGGGCAGCAUGGUCUUAGCUUGCUAAGGCCGAUGGCGACCGGCGCACGGGUGAGUAACACGUAUCCAACCUGCCGUCUACUCUUGGACAGCCUUCUGGAAGGAAGAUUAAUACAAGAUGGCAUCAUGAGUCCGCAUGUUCACAUGAUUAAAGGUAUUCCGGUAGACGAUGGGGAUGCGUUCCAUUAGAUAGUAGGCGGGGUAACGGCCCACCUAGUCUUCGAUGGAUAGGGGUUCUGAGAGGAAGGUCCCCCACAUUGGAACUGAGACACGGUCCAAACUCCUACGGGAGGCAGCAGUGAGGAAUAUUGGUCAAUGGGCGAGAGCCUGAACCAGCCAAGUAGCGUGAAGGAUGACUGCCCUAUGGGUUGUAAACUUCUUUUAUAAAGGAAUAAAGUCGGGUAUGGAUACCCGUUUGCAUGUACUUUAUGAAUAAGGAUCGGCUAACUCCGUGCCAGCAGCCGCGGUAAUACGGAGGAUCCGAGCGUUAUCCGGAUUUAUUGGGUUUAAAGGGAGCGUAGAUGGAUGUUUAAGUCAGUUGUGAAAGUUUGCGGCUCAACCGUAAAAUUGCAGUUGAUACUGGAUAUCUUGAGUGCAGUUGAGGCAGGCGGAAUUCGUGGUGUAGCGGUGAAAUGCUUAGAUAUCACGAAGAACUCCGAUUGCGAAGGCAGCCUGCUAAGCUGCAACUGACAUUGAGGCUCGAAAGUGUGGGUAUCAAACAGGAUUAGAUACCCUGGUAGUCCACACGGUAAACGAUGAAUACUCGCUGUUUGCGAUAUACUGCAAGCGGCCAAGCGAAAGCGUUAAGUAUUCCACCUGGGGAGUACGCCGGCAACGGUGAAACUCAAAGGAAUUGACGGGGGCCCGCACAAGCGGAGGAACAUGUGGUUUAAUUCGAUGAUACGCGAGGAACCUUACCCGGGCUUAAAUUGCAGAUGAAUUACGGUGAAAGCCGUAAGCCGCACGGCAUCUGUGAAGGUGCUGCAUGGUUGUCGUCAGCUCGUGCCGUGAGGUGUCGGCUUAAGUGCCAUAACGAGCGCAACCCUUGUUGUCAGUUACUAACAGGUUCCGCUGAGGACUCUGACAAGACUGCCAUCGUAAGAUGUGAGGAAGGUGGGGAUGACGUCAAAUCAGCACGGCCCUUACGUCCGGGGCUACACACGUGUUACAAUGGGGGGUACAGAGGGCCGCUACCACGCGAGUGGAUGCCAAUCCCCAAAACCUCUCUCAGUUCGGACUGGAGUCUGCAACCCGACUCCACGAAGCUGGAUUCGCUAGUAAUCGCGCAUCAGCCACGGCGCGGUGAAUACGUUCCCGGGCCU